GUAGAAUGGAUGCAUUAUGACUUCAAAGUCUAGGCAAUAAAAAGAACACAGCUUCUGCCUGGUUCGCUCUUUGGGAGAUGCUCACUCUGGGGAAGCCAAGCAUCACGUUGCGAGGAAGACCCGACAGUCCCAUGCACAGAGACUACUUGAGAGGCCCUCAUGGAUAGGAAGGAACAUGCCUAGUGGACAGCCAGCACCACCACUGGGCACAUGUGAACGAGCCUUCAGGUGAUUCUGGCCUCCAAGCGUCAAGCCUCCGCUGACACCAAAGGGAGCAGAGGGGAGCCAUCCACACUAAACCCAGAGCAAAACGCAGAUUCGUGGGCAAGAUCACUGUGGUUGCUGUUGUUUUAAAUCACUCAGUUCUUUAGGAAUGGAACAAGCCCUCUUCAGCCGUGGCCACCCCUUCUGUCCAUGCAUCUAACCACCAUCUUCACCACCCUUGUCUGAUCACUGAUGGUUUCGUCUCCUCCACUAGAAGCAAGGAAUCUCAUCUCAAUACCCCCAAGUCUCACAUGGAACAGAAAGGGGCCUCCAUAAAUGAUCGUCCUCAAUAAUGAGGGCCAAAGAGAGCCAAGGAAAUGAAGAUAGUGUUGGAUCUAUCAUCACAAGACUCAGGUUUCUGGGGCUCAGGGACCUGCUACUGGCUGAUCAAUAUCUCCAACCACCCCACGUGUAGCCGGCAGUUCCUGCUUUCUGUGAGAGCUACGAGUGCUUUUGUGGUGACUGAUAAGCUCUUGCUCCACUCAGGCCCAAGGACUUGAUCAGACAGCAGUGUGAGGCAUUCAGAAGGAAGCUUACGUGAUAACGGCCACAACAAUGAGGAGACACUUGGAGUUUGAUGACAAAGAGGAAGCAUCAGCCGCUGUGAGCUGGUCAGCCUUCCUAGGGACAUGUAGCCACUGCCACUCCUGGUGGCUUUUCUUCUGUCCUACAGGGGAGAGACUCCAGAGAAAAGAAAAAGCUGCGGGGGGUUUCCUUGUGUGUGAGGACUUUGUGCUGCCAGCCGAUCGCUGCUGAGGAAGGUGAGGAACAGCUGUGGCCCCACCCUUCUGGCGACACUUCACAGAGAACUGCCCACUCAGUGAGCCAACUAGGAAGACUGAAGAGCCCUUCAGAGGACAGGGAAGCUUUGGGGAGAGAGGAACAGGUCAGCUCAAGGGGCCUGUGGAAGAGACGGGCUGGUCAAAGCUGCAUCGGGAGGAGGCUGAGGUCGUGCUCCAUGCCCAGAGUGCACAGGGGAGAAAUUCACGGUUUUGCUUAGACACAGGCAAGGUCUGCAUCUGACUGAGCACCGGGGAUCUGCUCCAGGAACCACUACCCAGCAUGGAACACCAAGAAGCAGAGGACACGGGGAUGCUCAGCCCCAGGGCCCCACCCCUGUAAUUCCUCCCCGCUCUAGUCCUGCCGUGUCCCAAGCCUUCGUGCCUCCUUCAUGGCUCCUGGGGUGCAUCUCCUGUGACUGCACGUCCCACUCUGCUCUGUGCAGCUUAACCCACUUCUCCCUGAGGCUCCACAACAUCCAGGAGCAGGAAAGGACCCAGCAGGUCAUCCCUGUGAGAAGAGCCAUCCCCCACCCAGACUACAAGCCUAGGAAUUUCUCCAAGGACAUUGUGUCACUAAGGGUAGGGCACAUUGCUCCGCUGGUUCUUGCACACUUUAAUCCUAAGGUUUUGCAUCCCCCACGACCUCAUUCCUGUCCCUCCUUCCCAGUAUGACCCUUUCACUUGUCUCAGGGCUGUGGAGAAGGCAACUCCAUGACAGUUCCUGGAGUCUUUGUGAAUUCCUUUCCUCUGCCCUGAGCUUGAAGAGGAUGGCCAACCUGACUGCCUCUGUGAGCCCCCUCAGGCUGCCCAGGAAGAGAUUGCUGGCAAAGCUAGGGAUGGUGUACAGUUUGGCUGACUGGGAGCGCCUUGGUGGGAACACUCCCUCCGCCAUAAAACUGUGGGAAGUAGAGCUUGAUAUCCAAAGGGAUGAGUAACGCAUCUCUCACUACAAAGACCAUUACAACACCGUCACCCAGAUAUGUGUAGGGGACCCAACAAAGAGUAAGACUCUUUUUAAGGUGAGAUCCCCAGCACUGUCCACGCCCAGCCUGGGGAACAGCCAAGCUUGAGGAGAUCUGGGGCAGAGGGAACUAGCUAUAUCCUUGUGUACUCAGCCUUGUCACCAAGUCAGUCUGGUGUCCUGUCACCCUGCAGGGAUAGGAGACUCUACCACAGCCACUUAUUGUCAAAGUCUUCCUGGGGGAGGAGAAGAAGGGAAUUGUCAGGGCCAGGCUGGGGUCCCAGAAGCAAAGAGGGGCACAAAGGCUGUCCUGAGACACAUCUUACUCACAGCCCCCAAGCAGAGACUGCUUAACCUCAGGGCAUAAGGGAGAGGAGGAGCAGGAGAAGGCCCAGCCCAGCCCCUCCUCCCCUGCCCACUGGGGGAGUCCAGUGGCUCCCUUGUGUGAAACAUGGUGGCUCAGGACAUUGUCUCCUUUGGAAAAAAUAAGGGGAAACUGUCACCUGUCCACCCCAGGACCUCGAGCUUUCUACCUCGGGGAAAAACUACCUCCGGGAUUGAUCCAUCCAUCUUCUCUGGGACAGAAGCCAGCAAUGCACUGGGUAGAGGAGCAUGGAAGGGAGGCUGCCAGGGACUCACUAACCUUCCAUCUUUAGAGUGGAAAUCAUUAAUUCUUUCUUUAUUCACCAAAAUGUCCUAGGGCCUAUAGUGUAUUGAGUAAAUUUGUCAACAAUCUCUGAAUCUUGUAUAUAAGAAUGGAUUGAGAAAAGUAAACUCAUUUUUAAAAUAUCCGCCUUAGAGAAGGCUGGACUAGAAA
Molecule: long non-coding RNA, 2824 nt
Organism: Equus asinus (donkey)
Lineage: Eukaryota; Metazoa; Chordata; Mammalia; Perissodactyla; Equidae
Source: Ensembl